AACGCUGGCGGCAGGCCUAACACAUGCAAGUCGAACGGUAACAGGAAACAGCUUGCUGUUUCGCUGACGAGUGGCGGACGGGUGAGUAAUGUCUGGGAAACUGCCUGAUGGAGGGGGAUAACUACUGGAAACGGUAGCUAAUACCGCAUAACGUCGCAAGACCAAAGAGGGGGACCUUCGGGCCUCUUGCCAUCGGAUGUGCCCAGAUGGGAUUAGCUUGUUGGUGGGGUAACGGCUCACCAAGGCGACGAUCCCUAGCUGGUCUGAGAGGAUGACCAGCCACACUGGAACUGAGACACGGUCCAGACUCCUACGGGAGGCAGCAGUGGGGAAUAUUGCACAAUGGGCGCAAGCCUGAUGCAGCCAUGCCGCGUGUAUGAAGAAGGCCUUCGGGUUGUAAAGUACUUUCAGCGGGGAGGAAGGGAGUAAAGUUAAUACCUUUGCUCAUUGACGUUACCCGCAGAAGAAGCACCGGCUAACUCCGUGCCAGCAGCCGCGGUAAUACGGAGGGUGCAAGCGUUAAUCGGAAUUACUGGGCGUAAAGCGCACGCAGGCGGUUUGUUAAGUCAGAUGUGAAAUCCCCGGGCUCAACCUGGGAACUGCAUCUGAUACUGGCAAGCUUGAGUCUCGUAGAGGGGGGUAGAAUUCCAGGUGUAGCGGUGAAAUGCGUAGAGAUCUGGAGGAAUACCGGUGGCGAAGGCGGCCCCCUGGACGAAGACUGACGCUCAGGUGCGAAAGCGUGGGGAGCAAACAGGAUUAGAUACCCUGGUAGUCCACGCCGUAAACGAUGUCGACUUGGAGGUUGUGCCCUUGAGGCGUGGCUUCCGGAGCUAACGCGUUAAGUCGACCGCCUGGGGAGUACGGCCGCAAGGUUAAAACUCAAAUGAAUUGACGGGGGCCCGCACAAGCGGUGGAGCAUGUGGUUUAAUUCGAUGCAACGCGAAGAACCUUACCUGGUCUUGACAUCCACGGAAGUUUUCAGAGAUGAGAAUGUGCCUUCGGGAACCGUGAGACAGGUGCUGCAUGGCUGUCGUCAGCUCGUGUUGUGAAAUGUUGGGUUAAGUCCCGCAACGAGCGCAACCCUUAUCCUUUGUUGCCAGCGGUCCGGCCGGGAACUCAAAGGAGACUGCCAGUGAUAAACUGGAGGAAGGUGGGGAUGACGUCAAGUCAUCAUGGCCCUUACGACCAGGGCUACACACGUGCUACAAUGGCGCAUACAAAGAGAAGCGACCUCGCGAGAGCAAGCGGACCUCAUAAAGUGCGUCGUAGUCCGGAUUGGAGUCUGCAACUCGACUCCAUGAAGUCGGAAUCGCUAGUAAUCGUGGAUCAGAAUGCCACGGUGAAUACGUUCCCGGGCCUUGUACACACCGCCCGUCACACCAUGGGAGUGGGUUGCAAAAGAAGUAGGUAGCUUAACCUUCGGGAGGGCGCUUACCACUUUGUGACUCAUA
RNAcentral lists this ribosomal RNA (1451 nucleotides) under uncultured organism. RNAcentral describes it as "SSU rRNA". It matches the Rfam family "Bacterial small subunit ribosomal RNA". The record is from RNAcentral.